UACGUAGGUGGCAAGCGUUGUCCGGAGUUAUUGGGCGUAAAGCGCGCGCAGGCGGUCCUUUAAGUCUGAUGUGAAAGCCCACGGCUCAACCGUGGAGGGUCAUUGGAAACUGGGGGACUUGAGUAGAGAAGAGGAAAGUGGAAUUCCAAGUGUAGCGGUGAAAUGCGUAGAGAUGUGGAGGAACACCAGUGGCGAAGGCGACUUUCUGGUCUGUAACUGACGCUGAGGCGCGAAAGCGUGGGGAGCAAACAGG
RNAcentral lists this ribosomal RNA (253 nucleotides) under uncultured bacterium. RNAcentral's name for it is "partial 16S ribosomal RNA". It matches the Rfam family "Bacterial small subunit ribosomal RNA", at positions 524 to 776 of the family's 1533-position model. The record is from RNAcentral.